RNAcentral lists this ribosomal RNA (653 nucleotides) under uncultured bacterium. RNAcentral describes it as "bacterial SSU rRNA". It matches the Rfam family "Bacterial small subunit ribosomal RNA", at positions 56 to 689 of the family's 1533-position model. The record is from RNAcentral.
UGCAAGUCGAACGCGAAAGUCCUUCGGGAUGAGUAAAGUGGCGCACGGGUGAGUAACACGUAGGUGACCUGCCUUUUAGAGGGGAAUAACCAGAUGAAAAUUUGGCUAAUGCCGCAUACGAAGUACAAAUCUAAAAGUAGUACUUGAAAGGAUGCCUCUGUAUAUGCAUCCACUAAAAGAUGGGCCUGCGGAACAUUAGCUAGUUGGUGGGGUAAAGGCCUACCAAGGCAACGAUGUUUAUCCGGUCUGAGAGGAUGAUCGGACACACUGGAACUGAGACACGGUCCAGACUCCUACGGGAGGCAGCAGUGGGGAAUAUUGCGCAAUGGGGGAAACCCUGACGCAGCAACGCCGCGUGAGUGAGGAAGGACUUCGGUCUGUAAAGCUCUGUUAAUGUGGAAAAAUGGUAGUUGGUCUAAUAGGCCGAUUAUUUGAUGGUACACAUAGAGGAAGCACCGGCUAACUUCGUGCCAGCAGCCGCGGUAAUACGAAGGGUGCAAGCGUUGUUCGGAUUUAUUGGGCGUAAAGCGCGCGUAGGCGGACCUGUAAGUCAGAUGUGAAAUCUCGGGGCUCAACCUCGAAACUGCGUCUGAAACUGCAGGUCUAGAAUCUUGGAGGGGGAAAGGGGAAUUUCGCAUGUAGGGGUAAAAUCC